GACGAACGCUGGCGGCGUGCCUAAUACAUGCAAGUAGGACGCACAGUUUAUACCGUAGCUUGCUACACCAUAGACUGUGAGUUGCGAACGGGUGAGUAACGCGUAGGUAACCUGCCUGGUAGCGGGGGAUAACUAUUGGAAACGAUAGCUAAUACCGCAUAAUAUUAAUUAUUGCAUGAUAAUUAAUUGAAAGGUGCAAUUGCACCACUACCAGAUGGACCUGCGUUGUAUUAGCUAGUAGGUGAGGUAACGGCUCACCUAGGCGACGAUACAUAGCCGACCUGAGAGGGUGAUCGGCCACACUGGGACGGAGACACGGCCCAGACGCCUACGGGAGGCAGCAGUAGGGAAUCUUCGGCAAUGGACGAAAGUCUGACCGAGCAACGCCGCGUGAGUGAAGAAGGUUUUCGGAUCGUAAAGCUCGGUUGUAAGAGAAGAACGGGUGUGAGAGUGGAAAGUUCACACUGUGACGGUAUCUUACCAGAAAGAGACGGCUAACUACGUG
Molecule: ribosomal RNA, 505 nt
Filed under: uncultured bacterium
Lineage: Bacteria
Description: partial 16S ribosomal RNA
Rfam family: Bacterial small subunit ribosomal RNA
Source: RNAcentral